Molecule: unclassified non-coding RNA, 323 nt
Filed under: fungal sp.
Lineage: Eukaryota; Fungi
Description: partial internal transcribed spacer region
Rfam family: Eukaryotic small subunit ribosomal RNA (bases 1-46)
Source: RNAcentral
AAGUCGUAACAAGGUUUCCGUAGGUGAACCUGCGGAAGGAUCAUUAUCGAACAACAAGCCUAUGAUGCCGGGGCUCACACUCCGGAUGUUCAGGGCUUUAACGGGUGUGUUAGCGGCCACCAGAGUAACCCUCUGGGCGGUUUAGGGUUCAACCGAACCCUUUCACGCGCACACUACCGAUAUCCUUAUUCUACUCGUACCUCUCGUUCUCCUUCGGUGGGGCAACCUGCCGUUGGAAAUACAAAACUCUUUUUUGCAUCUAGCAUUACCUGUUCUGAUACAAAUAAUCGUUACAACUUUCAACAAUGGAUCUCUUGGCUCUG